This 320-nucleotide small nuclear RNA is filed under the name Canis lupus familiaris (dog). Its description in RNAcentral is "7SK RNA". It matches the Rfam family "7SK RNA". Rfam says of the family: 7SK was discovered as an abundant small nuclear RNA in the mid-70s but a possible function has only recently been suggested. RNAcentral also lists the same sequence under 1 other name. The record is from Rfam by way of RNAcentral. Lineage: Eukaryota; Metazoa; Chordata; Mammalia; Carnivora; Canidae.
GGAUGUGAGGGUAAUCUGGCUGUGACAUCUGUCACCCAAUUCAUUGCCAAGGUUGAGUCCACUGAUCUGGCUCACCAGACAGGGUCCUCCCUCCCUUACCACUCCAUGAGCAUCCCUCCUAUUGCUAUAUGCGUGAAGAGGAUGACCUUCCCAGUAGAGAAGGACUGCUCUUUGGUCAAGAGCAUAAGAGUAGCUGCACUCUCCUGUUAGAACCUCCAAAACAAGCUCUCAAGGUCCAUUUGUAGGAGGAAGUGGGGUUAUCAAGCUUCCAAGACUCCAGAAACAUCCAAAUGAAGUGCUGCAUGUGGCAGUCUGCCUUU